Molecule: ribosomal RNA, 459 nt
Filed under: uncultured bacterium
Lineage: Bacteria
Description: partial 16S ribosomal RNA
Rfam family: Bacterial small subunit ribosomal RNA
Source: RNAcentral
GAUGAACGCUGGCGGCGUGCCUAAAACAUGCAAGUCGAGCGGUAAGGCCCCUUCGGGGGUACACGAGCGGCGGACGGGUGAGUAACACGUGGGAAUCUACCCCAAACUGAGGGAUAAGCACCGGAAACGGUGUCUAAUACCGCAUAUGGUCUUCGGAUUAAAGCUUCGGCGGUUUGGGAAGAGCCCGCGCAAGAUUAGCUAGUUGGUAAGGUAAUGGCUUACCAAGGCGACGAUCUUUAGCUGGUUUGAGAGGAUGAUCAGCCACACUGGAACUGAGACAAGGUCCAGACUCCUACGGGAGGCAGCAGUUAGGAAUCUUCCACAAUGGGCGAAAGCCUGAUGGAGCAACGCCGCGUGCAGGAUGAAUGCCUUCGGGUUGUAAACUGCUUUUAUGUGCGAAGAAUAUGACGGCAACACAUGAAUAAGGAUCGGCUAACUCCGUGCCAGCAGCCGCGGUAA